UACGUAGGCGGCAAGCGUUGUCCGGAAUUAUUGGGCGUAAAGCGCGCGCAGGUGGUUCUUUAAGUCUGAUGUGAAAGCCCACGGCUCAACCGUGGAGGGUCAUUGGAAACUGGGGAACUUGAGUGCAGAAGAGGAAAGUGGAAUUCCAAGUGUAGCGGUGAAAUGCGUAGAGAUUUGGAGGAACACCAGUGGCGAAGGCGACUUUCUGGUCUGUAACUGACACUGAGGCGCGAAAGCGUGGGGAGCAAACAGG
RNAcentral lists this ribosomal RNA (253 nucleotides) under uncultured bacterium. RNAcentral describes it as "partial 16S ribosomal RNA". It matches the Rfam family "Bacterial small subunit ribosomal RNA", at positions 524 to 776 of the family's 1533-position model. The record is from RNAcentral.